Lactuca sativa (garden lettuce) is the source of this 519-nucleotide non-coding RNA. NCBI's taxonomy places the organism in Eukaryota, Viridiplantae, Streptophyta, Magnoliopsida, Asterales, Asteraceae. The record is from RefSeq and is a predicted model, not a curated record.
UUGUGUUGAAAUUGAAGGGCAUACUGAUGUAGUAUGGCAUCUCUUGAGUAAUUCCAUAGGGAAGCCUAGAUGACAGUCCGUGGGAUGGGCGUGACAUAAUUUUCUUUCCUCUACAAUAAUUAGAGGAUUAUUCUAAUAAGGCACCAACUGUGAGAUUUGUAUGUCGUCUGUUCCACCCAAAUAGUAAUGAAGUGAGCAAGGCUCCACAGAUACAAAGGUUGGUCACACCAUCGACAUUGCAAAGAAAGAGGGCAAGAUUGGCUGACAAUAAGAAGAGGAUUGGAAAUGCUGAGCCUACAGAUUACCAUCUAUUACUGCAUAAACACCUCCGUAUGCAUGGAUACUAUUUAAGAGUGUUAGAUCUUGAUGUAACCUUUUGUUAUGUAAGUGAGUUUUGUGUUCAGUUUUCAGUUAAGAUUAUAUGCCCAACAGUGGAUAACAUGUUGGAUUCUUGAAUCUCCUUCAAGAACGAGGCUCAUAAACACUUAAUUAAAGUCAACACCAACGAUUCCUUUUCCA